GGAAAGUUCUCCCACAGACACACACGAGGAGCCAGGGCGCUGUCUGCUCCACUACCAGCCUCUCCGAAGUGUAUGGCUGUGCAAUACAGCUGUGGUUGUGGACAGAAAGCUCACUGAAGCAAUAAGGAAAACAACCCAGAAGUGGACUGCUGUGUUGGGAAGAGGAGAGUGCCUUGCUUGAGGCUACAACAAAGGAAGGAUACUUGACGGGCAUUAAAAGUUUCUUGUGCUUGGUUAACAUUUAUGCCCACUCACUGAUCUAAGCAGGAACCCUUAAGCUCCACUAUAGUCCAUUUUCUCACAUUCCUUCUCACUUCAACAACACCAGAUCACAACAUGUUAAAAACUACAGCAAAAAGAGCCUCAAAAGCUCUAGGAUAAUCUUUUAUGGAAAGACAAUGUAAAGAUAAAGUUGUUUUCGUAUAAUAGAAAGGUAGGAGAGUAUAAAAAAUAAAUAAGACAAUUCAAAGCAUAAUUUCUUCAUCUUUGAAACAUGGCAGAAGUAGUGCUGAGGUUUAGUAUGCUUUAUAUCUGGUUUGGAUUUUUGCUGACAUAAUGAAAAACAGAGCCGGCAGAGCUGUAUGGUCACUACAGAAGUGUAGAGAAACAUCUCUUAUGCCUGCUUACCUCAAAUUGCCUUCAGACUCAUUAGGCAGUGGUUUAGGCUACUAUGCAGAAAAACAAAAGACACUGCUGAGGAAACCAAAGAGUUUAUAAGGGACAACAAAUGGACAUUUUGGAACGUAUGAGUCGCUCAAUAUAAAUAUCCAAUCAAGCUUGCCUUUAACUAGCUAAUGUCAGGAAACCUUGAACACAAACAAGAAAAAUGGGCAGUGCAAAAACUUGGAAAAACAUCCCAGAGAUGAUAGUGACAAGAUGGUGAUUUGACUAGUCCACAGUUUUAAUGAGGUGCCUGGAAUGAGCUCCUUCUCUGUUCAGUUGCGGUGGUGGAGACAAAGGAAAGGAAUUUUAGAAACGUAACGUAAAGAAAAAAACAUGAAAAAGUUUUAACACCCUUGGGUAAAUUAGAUG
Long non-coding RNA from Colossoma macropomum (tambaqui), 1032 nucleotides. RefSeq lists it as uncharacterized. NCBI's taxonomy places the organism in Eukaryota, Metazoa, Chordata, Actinopteri, Characiformes, Serrasalmidae. The record is from RefSeq and is a predicted model, not a curated record. The transcript is spliced from 3 exons.